RNAcentral lists this ribosomal RNA (430 nucleotides) under Pseudomonadota bacterium. Its description in RNAcentral is "Proteobacteria bacterium partial 16S ribosomal RNA". It matches the Rfam family "Bacterial small subunit ribosomal RNA", at positions 355 to 776 of the family's 1533-position model. The record is from RNAcentral. Lineage: Bacteria; Pseudomonadati; Pseudomonadota.
UGGGGAAUAUUGGACAAUGGGCGGAAGCCUGAUCCAGCCAUGCCGCGUGUGUGAAGAAGGCCUUUUGGUUGUAAAGCACUUUAAGCGAGGAGGAGGCUACUAGUACUAAUACUACUGGAUAGUGGACGUUACUCGCAGAAUAAGCACCGGCUAACUCUGUGCCUGCAGCCGCGGUAAUACAGAGGGUGCGAGCGUUAAUCGGAUUUACUUGGCGUAAAGCGUGCGUAGGCGGCUAAUUGAGUCGGAUGUGAAAUCCCCGAGCUUAACUUGGGAAAUGCAUUCGAUACUGGUUAGCUAGGGUGUGGGAGAGGAUGGUAGAAUUCCAGGUGUAGCGGUGAAAUGCGUAGAGCUCUGGAGGAAUACCGAUGGCGAAGGCAGCCAUCUGGCCUAACACUGACGCUGAGGUACGAAAGCAUGGGGAGCAAACAGG